AUAUUUACAUGAUGGGGAGAUACCAUGAUCAAAAGUAUGGCUUUCCCAGGCCAAGGCUUACCUACUGCACCCCAGUUCAGCUGACACUUGUGAUUUCUCCUGACAUGGGAAACUGUACUGCAUAAUUUGUGGUAGUAGAUGAUGCUUUCACAUUCU
This 156-nucleotide small nuclear RNA is filed under the name Erinaceus europaeus (western European hedgehog). Its description in RNAcentral is "U1 spliceosomal RNA (ENSEEUG00000018912.1)". It matches the Rfam family "U1 spliceosomal RNA". Rfam says of the family: U1 is a small nuclear RNA (snRNA) component of the spliceosome (involved in pre-mRNA splicing). Lineage: Eukaryota; Metazoa; Chordata; Mammalia; Eulipotyphla; Erinaceidae. The record is from RNAcentral.